This 73-nucleotide transfer RNA is filed under the name Bos taurus (domestic cattle). It matches the Rfam family "tRNA". Rfam says of the family: Transfer RNA (tRNA) molecules are approximately 80 nucleotides in length. The record is from Rfam by way of RNAcentral. RNAcentral also lists the same sequence under 4 other names. Lineage: Eukaryota; Metazoa; Chordata; Mammalia; Artiodactyla; Bovidae.
UCCCUGGAGGUCCAGUGGUUAGGACUCCAUGCUUUCACUGCUGAGAUCCUGGGUUCAAUCCCUGGUCAGGGAA